Molecule: ribosomal RNA, 406 nt
Filed under: uncultured bacterium
Lineage: Bacteria
Description: partial 16S ribosomal RNA
Rfam family: Bacterial small subunit ribosomal RNA
Source: RNAcentral
AUUGAACGCUGGCGGCAGGCCUAACACAUGCAAGUCGAACGCGUGGCGGACGGGUGAGUCACGUCUGGGAAACUGCUUGAUGGCGGGGGAUACCUACUGGAAACGGUAGCUAAUACCGCAUAGCAUCAGAUGUGACCAGAUGGGAUUAGCUUGUAGGUGGGGUAGCGGCUCACCAAUGCGACGAUCCCUAGCUGGUCUGCGAGGAUGACCAGCCAAACUGGAACUGAGAACCGGGCCAGACUCCUACGGGGGGCAGCAGUGGGGAAUAUUGCACAAUGGGCGCAAGCCCGAUGCAGCCAUGGCGCGUGUAGGAAGAAGGCCUUCGGGUUGUAAAGUACUUUCAGCGGGGAGGCGUUACCCGCAGAAGAAGCACCGGCUAACUCCGUGCCAGCAGCCGCGGUAAUAC